GGAAAAUCCAAGUUGGAGUGGUGCCUGAUACAGGUGAAAAUCAGUUUGCAGCUACUGGAAGAGAGAGGAGCAUAUCAAUUGUUUAAAACAAAAAGCCAGCGUUAACAAGCUCAAAGAAAUGAAGUUGAAAGGAAUAGAUGUAGCUCCUGAAUAGAAGCGAAAGUCCAACAUGGUUCCAUUAAAAUGACUUCUCAGCGUUCUCUCCCUGCAGAUGACUUCGGUAUCUACUACGUCCUGACUGUCUGCAAAGUUUUUUUCAACAAGACGCACUGACCUGGAACAACGAAAUUCACUGCUCCUUUUGUGAAACCAAGCAAGAAACUGCUGUGAGGGCCAAUAUUUCCAAAGCACCAAAAAUAAUUAUUUUUCACCUAAAAAGGGUACACACAUUCAGGGUACAACGAAAAGGAAGCUGAGAACGGAUAUUCAUUACCCACUCACUAACUUGGACCUCGCUCCUUAUAUUUGCUCAAUUUGCCGGAAAUAUCCUAAAUACAGCCUCUGUGCAGUGGUGAUGAUAGUCAAUGGGCACAACAUAUAAGUAGUUACAAUGAAAUGAGAAGCAAUAUAGCAGUCAGGCUAUAUGCAUGAUUUAACAACAAAAUUAUCACUUCCUUUUAAUUUAGUAUAAGGGACAAUUUAAAAAGCAUUUCUUGGUCCUAUCAUUUCUGUUCCAGUAG
Molecule: small RNA, 680 nt
Filed under: Pongo abelii (Sumatran orangutan)
Lineage: Eukaryota; Metazoa; Chordata; Mammalia; Primates; Hominidae
Description: processed transcript
Source: RNAcentral